UAGUCCACGCUGUAAGCGAUGUCGACUAGCCGUUGGGAUUUUAAAUAAUUUUAGUGGCGCAGCUAACGCGAUAAGUCGACCGCCUGGGGAGUACGGCCGCAAGGUUAAAACUCAAAUGAAUUGACGGGGGCCCGCACAAGCGGUGGAGCAUGUGGUUUAAUUCGAAGCAACGCGAAGAACCUUACCACCCCUUGACAUCCAGAGAACUUACUAGAGAUAGUUUGGUGCCUUCGGGAGCUCUGAGACAGGUGCUGCAUGGCUGUCGUCAGCUCGUGUUGUGAGAUGUUGGGUUAAGUCCCGUAACGAGCGCAACCCUUAUCCUUAUUUGCCAUCGAGUAAUGUCGGGAACUUUAAGGAGACUGCCGGGGACAAACCGGAGGAAGGUAAGGAUGACGUCAAGUCAGCAUGCCCCUUAUGCUCUGGGCUACACACGUGCUACAAUGGUCGUGACAAAGAGUUGCUACUUUGUGAAAACAAGCUAAUCUCAUAAACGCGGCCUCAGUUCGGAUUGCAGG
RNAcentral lists this ribosomal RNA (515 nucleotides) under uncultured bacterium. RNAcentral's name for it is "bacterial SSU rRNA". It matches the Rfam family "Bacterial small subunit ribosomal RNA", at positions 791 to 1304 of the family's 1533-position model. The record is from RNAcentral.